CCUACGGGUGGCAGCAGUGAGGAAUAUUGGUCAAUGGACGAGAGUCUGAACCAGCCAAGUAGCGUGAAGGAUGACUGCCCUAUGGGUUGUAAACUUCUUUUAUAUGGGAAUAAAAUGUUCCACGUGUGGGAUUUUGUAUGUACCAUAUGAAUAAGGAUCGGCCAACUCCGUGCCAGCAGCCGCGGUAAUACGGAGGAUCCGAGCGUUAUCCGGAUUUAUUGGGUUUAAAGGGAGCGUAGGUGGAUUGUUAAGUCAGUUGUGAAAGUUUGCGGCUCAACCGUAAAAUUGCAGUUGAAACUGGCAGUCUUGAGUACAGUAGAGGUGGGCGGAAUUCGUGGUGUAGCGGUGAAAUGCUUAGAUAUCACGAAGAACUCCGAUUGCGAAGGCAGCUCACUGGACUGCAACUGACGCUGAGGAGCGAAAGCGUGGGUAGCAAACAGGAUUAGAUACCCCAGUAGUC
RNAcentral lists this ribosomal RNA (460 nucleotides) under uncultured bacterium. RNAcentral describes it as "partial 16S ribosomal RNA". It matches the Rfam family "Bacterial small subunit ribosomal RNA", at positions 338 to 795 of the family's 1533-position model. The record is from RNAcentral.